AAGGCGACUAUUACGAGUUUACAACUCCCAAACCCUGUGACAUACACUUGUUGCUCGGCGGAUCAGCCCGCUCCCGGUAAAACGGGACGGCCCGCCAGAGGACCCUAAACUCUGUUUCUAUAUGUAACUUCUGAGUAAAACCAUAAAUAAAUCAAAACUUUCAACAACGGAUCUCUUGGUUCUGGCAUCGAUGAAGAACGCAGCAAAAUGCGAUAAGUAAUGUGAAUUGCAGAAUUCAGUGAAUCAUCGAAUCUUUGAACGCACAUUGCGCCCGCCAGUAUUCUGGCGGGCAUGCCUGUUCGAGCGUCAUUUCAACCCUCAAGCACAGCUUGGUGUUGGGACUCGCGUUAAUUCGCGUUCCUCAAAUUGAUUGGCGGUCACGUCGAGCUUCCAUAGCGUAGUAGUAAAACCCUCGUUACUGGUAAUCGUCGCGGCCACGCCGUUAACCCCAACUUCUGAAUGUUGACCUCGGAUCAGGUAGGAAUACCCGUGAACUUAAGCAU
This 503-nucleotide ribosomal RNA is filed under the name Fusarium oxysporum. RNAcentral describes it as "eukaryotic LSU rRNA". The stretch from base 156 to 309 matches the Rfam family "5.8S ribosomal RNA". The record is from RNAcentral. Lineage: Eukaryota; Fungi; Ascomycota; Sordariomycetes; Hypocreales; Nectriaceae.